CAUUUCAGCCACAUCACCCUGCAGCCCAAGACCGGCUACUCACUGAAGCUAGGCAGAGCUGAGCCUGAGUAGUACCUGGAUGGGAGACCACAUGGGAAAGCUAGGUUGCUGUUGGAA
Molecule: non-coding RNA, 117 nt
Organism: Danio rerio (zebrafish)
Lineage: Eukaryota; Metazoa; Chordata; Actinopteri; Cypriniformes; Danionidae
Source: Rfam